This 2222-nucleotide long non-coding RNA is filed under the name Nicotiana benthamiana. RNAcentral describes it as "long non-coding RNA (NBEN_LNC006904)". Lineage: Eukaryota; Viridiplantae; Streptophyta; Magnoliopsida; Solanales; Solanaceae. The record is from RNAcentral.
GUAUUUUACUAUAUGCCACUUGUAAUGAUGUAUCACAUUAGUGAUAGCAAUUCUAAUAAUGUAGUCGAGUAUUGUGUUGGGGGAUAGUCGUUUUUUCUGUUUGUACCGGCUAGUGUUUUGUCUUUGUACUGCUAAUGGUUUAUGUUGCGUUUUACACUUAAAGCAUUGUAUUUGUGUUAUUUCCCUUUCAUUUAUGUUGCUGUCUCUCACGAUGCAGAUAUUAUUUUUCUGGUUUCUGCUGCUGUUACGGACCUCUUGUCUAUGAGGGUCUCUUGGAAACAGCGGGUAGGGAUAAGGUCUGCGUACACUCUACCCUGCCUUGAUCCUAUUAGUGGGAUUCAAUUGAAUGGUUGCUGUUGUUGUUGUUGUAGUUCUAAUGAUGUAUCCUUUUUUUUAAGUCUAAUGACGUAUCUUGUUAACGCUUGACAAGUGUUUAGCUACCUGUGGUGGAAGAAUUUCAUGUCUGGGAGAGAAUUCUACCUUGUGUCUUACCGUUAUAAUUCCAAAACAUUGUUUUGAAAUGUUUCGACAUGCAUCGACAAAGAAUAACAUUAACAACAUAUAUAAAGUAUAAUAUAACUAUUAGACAAAAUUCACAAGUUUGAUGUUCCAUGGAGGUAUUUCAAUAGUACCUUACCACACUCUUCCCCAGUAUCCGAAUUAAUGCAUCUGUAUUCAUUGGAAGAAUGACUUAGAAUAUUAAUACGGGAUUUAUGAGUGUCAUUGUUCUUUUUUUUUAAUCAAGUAUAUGAGUAUCUGUGCCUUGUUUUAUAAGUUUGAGAUGGGCUGACAGCAAUCAUUUCUUCAAGAAGUUCCACUUUCGAAUAAGACAUGACAAGUUAUUCUGCUUCCUAUUUACUUCCUCUUCCUCUUAUUUGUCAAUCUGCUUAGUGAAUAGCAGACAGAAGACAUUCUCUGGACCAUCACAAAGUAGCUCAUCGAGUCGUUUGUUUUCUACUUGUUGCACUUGUCACGGUUCUAGAGUAUCUUUGAUAGAUAAUGAAAUUCUCAGAAUUGCCAGCAGUUGAUGCCACGCGAUAGACCUUGGUAUAACCUGUGCUCUGUUUCAAUAUUCUGCCGUUGAAGCUGUCUAGGGUGUCUUUGAUAGAUAAUGGAAUUCUCAGAAUUGCCAGCAGUUAAUGCCACGUGAUAGACCUUGGUAUAACCUGUGCUCUGUUUCAAUAUUCUGCCGUUGAAGCUUGUGUGAGCAGAUAUUCUGAAGUAUGAAUUUCUGGCUAGUUACAGAAAACUAUCAAAGAGAAGUAUUAGAUGGAGCUUUGUUGAUUGGUAUUGUUUAUACAAUUUUCUUAUACAUAAUCUGGAUCCUAUCACACCUAAAUUGCAAACUUCUAUAUCGACAUAACCAAGUUACGUUUGAGAAGUAUUACCACCAAAGAGAGGGAGGAGGGAGGAGAGAGAGUGCACAGACUAUAAGGAAGUUCAAUUAUUUAGGAUUUUGUGCUAUGCAGGAAACAUUAGGAUUAUUUGUGUAAUCUGAUUGCUGUUAAUGCAAAAUUACUUAUAAAGUUGAGCUGGAAAAUAUGUCAUUUCAUCUCGUGCUCUUUAUUUUUUGCCCUUCUCUAACAAGCUGCAGGAACUAUUUGGCUAAUCUUAUGGUGCUUUAAACAUGCAAUUUCGUGUGAAGGCGGAUGCUGUUGUUUACCUGGUGGAUGCCUAUGACAAAGAAAGGUUUGCUGAAUCUAAGAAAGAGCUGGAUGCUCUCCUCUCUGAUGAGUCAUUGGCUAGCGUUCCUUUUCUUAUACUGGGUAACAAGAUAGACAUCUCGUAUGCUGCAUCAGAAGAUGAAUUGCGUUACCACAUGGGGCUAACGGGCAUCACAACUGGCAAGGGAAAGGUAAACCUGGCAGAAUCCAAUGUUCGACCCCUUGAGGUAUUCAUGUGCAGCAUAGUCCGCAAAAUGGGAUAUGGAGAAGGCUUCAAAUGGGUCUCUCAAUACAUUAAAUAACAGAUGUAGGAAGUGAGCUAUUGUCAUUCUGUUUUGCUUGUGCUUUUGUACUGGAUAUGAGUUGGAACGUUUGUUUCAAAGCGCAGUUGAUUACGCUUCUCUUGUUCUAGCUUUCAAGGAAUAUGGUGAACGAAAGGAUGUUCAAGAUUUAUUUGCUACAUAACAAAAUGUUUUACUGAAAAACUCAACCAUAAUUCCCAUCUCUAGAAGUGGUGCUGUUUUUGAUCAAUUGUAAAGCAAAAUCACAAAAGUUUUG